UGAGGAAUAUUGGUCAAUGGGCGCAAGCCUGAACCAGCCAUCCCGCGUGAAGGAUGAAGGCCCUAUGGGUCGUAAACUUCUUUUAUACACCAAGAAAAAGCAGGACGUGUCCUGCCCCGACGGUAGCGUAUGAAUAAGCAUCGGCUAACUCCGUGCCAGCAGCCGCGGUAAUACGGAGGAUGCGAGCGUUAUCCGGAUUCAUUGGGUCUAAAGGGUGCGUAGGCGGCUUUUUAAGUCAGUGGUGAAAUCUUGCCGCUUAACGGUAAAAUUGCCAUUGAUACUGCUAAGCUUGAGUACAAUUGAGGUAAGCGGAAUGUGUAGUGUGGCGGUGAAAUGCUUAGAUAUUACACAGAACACCGAUUGCGAAGGCAGCUUACUGGACUGUCACUGACGCUGAUGCACGAAAGCGUGGGGAGCAAACA
Molecule: ribosomal RNA, 422 nt
Filed under: uncultured bacterium
Lineage: Bacteria
Description: bacterial SSU rRNA
Rfam family: Bacterial small subunit ribosomal RNA
Source: RNAcentral